AUGGGGCUGUGCGUGAGGGGACAGUGCAAGAGGAGCUGCAGGCCUCGGGGCUGGCCCUGCACCGUGAUCUGCACUUCAGUUCCUUCAACAAGCAGUACCUGCACACCAACUUCACCUGCGUGGUGCUCAGUCCCCUCGGUGUCGACACCAGGGAGGUGCGAUGGCCAUCGCCAGCACUGGCCCCCAUCACUGGGAAGAGUGAGGGCCUGGGCUGAGAUGGAGGAGCAACUCCAGUGCUGGGUGCUGAGUGAGCAGCCUGCAGUGCAGCUCCCUGCUCUGACAGCCCCACACCCACCACUGCAUGCACAUGAGACACCUCCAGGGAGGCCCGUCUCUGUGACGCCUCUGCUUUGGGGACUGCAUGGCCCCACAUAUGCUGGCCCCACUGUGAGUGGGGCUCCUGGUGCCCCAAGCCGAGUCAGGAGCGCUGCCUGGGCUGAAACCAGCCCUGCCCAUAGCUGGCUUUGGGACCCUAGAGUUUAUUAAAGUACAUCAAGGUUUCCCAGUGUCACCUGCAUCCCGGUGAUGGUGCUGCCCAGGGGUGUAGAGGGCACAUGUGGGGGAGGGAGAUAAGGUAGCCAUGGGGUCCAUGAAGUGUAGGAUCCAUUCCUGACCCCCUUCCUGCCUAGUGAAGGGCUAGAGAGCCACAGUACUCCCAGUUAUGCUCAGGGAACACCUGGCACAACAGCUGUGCCCUGUCCUGGAGGAGAGUGUGGGUGGAGAAGCCCUGGAGUGCAGGCACCCCAGAAGAUGGGCCCACCACAUCCCUCUCUGCACCUGGGGGGGGUUGGGACUCUUCCUCAGCAUGGCAUUGCUGCUCCGUGGGGCAACCCCUGUAACCAUCCUGUGCUGGCAGGAUACCACCUGCUCUUUAUUGCCAGGCCCCUUCUUGCUCCCUCAGGUGCUUGUGGGGGGUGUGACCCCCUGGACUGUGGGACAGGCUGGGGAACAAAUCCCAAACCCUUUGAGCAACCCCUGGGCUAUGGGCAUCACACUUCAGGAUGCUCAGAAUGUGGGAGGGAUAGGGAUGGGGGUGGGGGGGAGUGGAGAAGUCUCCAGGUGCACGCCCCAUGAGCUGCCCUCAGCCCAGGGAGCCACAGGAGCCCCCUGGGGACACCCCAGUCCCACAGUGACUCUUAAGAGCUAGGGGAAGGCAAGCAGUGGAGCAGCCACCUGGGCAGGGACCUGCACCCCCUAGCCUUGUUAAUUCCAGACUCCAUUCCUGGGAGAGCCUCUCACAGACCCCACACACAGCUGCAUCCUGACACCACAGCUGCCACUCAGCAAAGGCCUCUGUCACGCUCAGCCAAUGUCCUGGGGGCAGUGACACUACGGCCAGGCUGAGCACAGAUACCUGCCGUGCAGGACCCUGUGCGGGUAUCUCCGUGUCCCUCAUCCUGUCCUGCUGUUCCCCUGACGCUGGUGGCUCCAUCCCUGACCCCUUCUUCUUGCCGCAGUGUGAUGGCAGCAGCACACUUCUCACUGCACACCAUGGCACCCAGCCCUGCCAUGCCAUCUCACGCCAUGCUGCGUCAUGCUGCGGCACACUUUGCUGCCCACAGACCCUACUGCAAACCACAGGUGAGAGCUGCUCUGAGAUGUGCAAGGCUGUGUGUCCAUGGCAUGCCCUCCCCACCACCAAGAUCGAGAUCUCCCUGUCCUGGCAGACCUGGUGGGACAGGACUGUUCCCUGCCGCAAGUCCCCAUGGCCCAGCAGUGGGAGAGACUGUCUUGCAGGGACAUCACCUUUCACAAAAUCACAGUUGUAGGUGCUGAGCACCGUUGGAAACAGCUGGAAGAGGGCAAUUUCAGCAACCUCAAACAUCUGGAAAAGCAGGAUGAGGACCUCCUUGUCCUUAUGGGACAAGUCCUUGGUAGGGACACUGUAGCAGGUCUCUGACACAGUGCCAGAUUUUUCCCCAGCCAGCUCCCGGCACUGAGCCAAGAGUGGGCUGCUCCUGGGAAGCAGGGCAGAUUAGGGCUGAUGCUCUAUGGCCCUGGCUGUCCAGCAUCGAGGGCAGGAGCAAGGAAUGGGAGAGGUCUUCCAUGUGGCUUCCAAAAGGGAUUCAUUCUCUUGAAGGUUCCAGGGAUGAAAGACAAAAGAUACAGGGGUACGUGUAAGUAAGGGGGAGGAGCAAGGGGAGUGUACAAAUAAUAAACCAAUAGGGAAGACUUAGGCGAAGAGCGCA
This is a long non-coding RNA of Cyanistes caeruleus (blue tit), 2189 nucleotides long. The record is from Ensembl. Lineage: Eukaryota; Metazoa; Chordata; Aves; Passeriformes; Paridae.